Synchiropus splendidus (mandarinfish) is the source of this 4004-nucleotide long non-coding RNA. RefSeq lists it as uncharacterized. Lineage: Eukaryota; Metazoa; Chordata; Actinopteri; Syngnathiformes; Callionymidae. The record is from RefSeq and is a predicted model, not a curated record. The transcript has 3 exons.
AUCUCGUCCCCGCCGGCGAGGAGAAAGCAGGACUUCAGAUGAUCAGCAUUCCUCCAGCUCCGGUGAUUCCUCCAGAUCGCUCUCCAGAGGAGCAUCGGCGAUGCACGGCUCCACUGCAGGAGGCUGCACGUCAAUCACACAGGUAACCUAGGGAACCGCUGGGCCCGCCCGCCUUGCCAUCGCUGAUUGGCCCGCAGUCGGAGGACCAGAAGUGGCGAGUCCGCACGGCUCCACAGAUGGAUGCUGAAAGCUGCGCCGGGAUCAUGUGGAGAGACGAACAAACAGGAGCGGAUUGCAGUACUUGUGAAUUCUCUUUCUCGCUUCCUGCUCCCUCUCUCUCUGUCUCCUCAUGACUUCAGAGCCUUUACUUCACAGUUGCCUAGCAACCGACAGGCAUGGGUGAUGCGUGGAGAGGGAGGAUGCUCGCAGGACAGUGGAGGGUCAAAAGACUUCAAGGACUGAAUCCAGCUGGAGGUGACUCCAGGUUUGCAGAGGCCCUUUCAGUGUGUAGUGUCCAUAUUGCCUCAUGCUAGUCGCCCCCUAAUGUUUACAACUGGAAGACUAAAACAUGAAAUCUGGAAGACUCAGUGCUGAGACCGUGCACCCAGCACCUCCCCACACAUGACCUGAAUCACCACAUCCGAGCCAGACAAGCGGACGAGGCAUGCGGUGCUGGUCUGUGGAUCUCCAAGGUGGCGACGAUCACGCCGAAGACUGGACUGAAGCCGACUGGGUCGCAGGCUGGACAGAAACAAGGUCAAAGGUCAGUUGCACAGCCAGACUGCAAGCAGCAUCCAGGGUUGGAAUUGUUCUUCCAAAAACGUGAAGUCUCAUUUGGCUCCGGAGAAGUACAUGGAAAAACCUGGACUGGAUUGGAUGGGUGGGCACCUAUGUAAAGACAAAAGCCUAACACUCGCCUCCUGUGAUUUUUGCUCCUCAACUCCAUUGCGGGCACUAGUGUCCUCACUCCCAUUAACUUCCUGUUUGGACUGUUUAGCAUCAGCGUCCUUUACUGGGCUCUCCUCCUCUGGUUUCCUCUGUGUAGAGACAAGACAGGGGGUGGGUGCACUACACUGAGCUAGAGACCAACGGCAGACAGCAUGCCACACCAACAUGCCACCACAACAGCCAAGCAGCAACACGCAGCUGAGAGAACAACAGUCCGUCCCUGCUUUCAAGCAACUCCUCCUCAGCCAACACUAGUCUGACAGGCUCCGUUUCAUUAGUUCCAACACAUGACCAACCAGACGUCUUGGUAUAGGACAAGUGUCGGCGUGAGGAGCAUCAUGAAGCAGGCAUCGAGUGCCUUGCCUCACCUUUUUCCUGACCAGAUGCGAGAUGUUGGAGACUUGCGAGGAGCCAUCUGUCGACUUGACAGGCAUCUGAGGAAAGGGAAUGUUUCUGUGAGCACCGGCAAACUUCCAGCUCAUUCUGACAUCCUCACCUGACUGACUGUGGUGAAGGCCGAUGAAGGUCCCCCGUUCUCACUGAAGGAUGAGGACGACGUGGAGGCUCCACCCUGAACAACAUGCAAGUGAGCUGGGGCCAUGUGGCUGAGUGAGGGGCCUGGGCUGACUCACCAGCGUCUGCUUGAUGGCCUGAGAGGCAGCGAGGGACGUUCUCUGGCUCUCCUUGGCGUCCUCGAUUUUCUCCUUGAUGUCAGGCAGAAGCUGCUUCAGCUCCUCCAUCUCCUUCACGUCGUCUUCUGAAGCGCCAGCAGCAGCGGAGUUGAUGGCCUCCUGCAACAUGGCUGCACAGAAGGAGAGCGUGAAUCCAGGGUGAGGGAACCUCACGGAAAGCCUCUUACCCAGCCGCUCCUCGAUGACCUUCACCGAGCUGUUGAAAUGCUCGAUGGCCUGGCUGUACUGGUCUAUGUAGCAGAGCGUGGAGGCCACAUGGUAGUGGGUCUCCGCCAGCAGCCGACUAUGAGGAGGCAGGUGCUUCUGCUGCAGGGUGAGACACUCCUGGAAGUCUUCUAGCGCCUGAGCGUAGUUGUCUGAAGAGGUCAGAAUGAAGUGAGAACUGAAAGCACAACAGGGCUCCUGGGAGCAAACACCAGACCACGCAAACCAGAGGGGCCACUAUCGAGGUCAGAAGCUCAUUUGAGUGAACUUUAGUUCCUCAACUGAUAUAGAGGGCAACAUUGGACUACAUUGCUACAAACUCUUUCUGCAGAUUGUUCCUGACAUGAGCCUGGCUGCUGUGUGAGGAAACCCUUCUAUAAUAUGGAGUGCAAUGGCCAAUGUUUUGCCUCUCUAUUCACAACCUCAUGCUGGGCCUGGGCAAUAAAUAGCAAGUCAGUUUAUGGACUUCAUACAGGGCAUAAACAAGUUGUUCCUUGAACAUCUUUGAGCUGCUUAAGAAAACAUUCAGAAUUUUGCUUGAAGAGAUCAAGACACAGUUCCGGCCUGAGGACUGAACAACUGCAGCGCACACCUCACUGUCUGGAUAGUGGAAAGCUUGCACUGCGGUGUGAGCUACUUUGAAUCCUGAGAACCAGAAACAAGGGAGGUGGUUUGAUGCAUCAACCACGUCAACCAGGUGCAGACAUCCAUGCCGUGUUCUGAGACAGGGCUAGUUUGAUUUGCUAAAAGCAUGAAUGACCAUUUACAAGUGAAAACAAUGGUAUGGUGCAGCCAAUAGAGCCAUAUGUGGUGUCACAAAUACAGCAGCAUAUCCAACUAUUAAAUUGUAUUGCCAUUUUGACGCCCAGGUUGGUUUAGGGCUCAAACUAGCAAUGACUGAGUCCAAGUAACUACUGUCAAUAGUACAGUCAGACAGUACGAGAGUCACUGUACAUGCAUCCCAAACAAGAGUCCUCCAGACACUGGAGUCACACUGUCAACUCAAGUCUACAUAUUCAAGUGGGGUUGAUGCCUCUGGAAUGAGCUGCGGCGAAAAUGACUGGUGGUUGCACCGGGCAAGGACAGAGGACGGCGGGCAAAACCAGACGCUAUUGGAGGCGGUUCUGUUGUUGUGGAAAAAAAAGUAAUGGAAGCGUUCGUGUUUUGUUUCUUUAAAUAUUGAAAAAAAUUAAAAAAAAAAAAAAAACAAUGAAGAUUGGCGUCACUAAACCAAUAAAAGGACAACCAUCCUGAAGGCUGUACUACACUAGCCACAACACUUGUGUGCAGUCGUACCUGAUUCAAUACUGACUUGACCGAGGAUCAGAUAAGCUUGUGCUGCCAUCAGCUGGUCGUCUUUGUUCUCCUUCCUGUGGGGAUAAGGUCAACAGUCAACGAGGGCAGGGAGCAGAGAAAGCCUGUUCACGGUGGCGACUCCUCUUCACCUCUUGUAGAUGACUUUAGCCAGCUCCAACAUCUCCCACGCCAACUGCAGGUUUCCAACUUCAUCCUCCUCCUACCAUGAGACAGGACGGUCAAAGAUGUUUGAGAGCUCCAGAUCACUCCAGGUCACUCACCUUUUCACCAUUCUCCUCUCCUCCUUCCUCAUCGCUCUCGUCAUCGUCAUCAACAUCAUCUAAAGAAAAAGUUUGGAUCACUUCAGGGGCCAUACUUUAAAAGGGCACGACAGCAAGCUCAUAUUUGCACCCCUCCAGGAGACACCAGUGACCUGAACCCAGUUCCACCACAUGACCAGUGCUGAUGUGAAGGAGAUAAACUGCCUGCCCUCUGGCUGUGCCUCUCCGUCUUCCUCCUCAGGCUUCUCCACAUUCUGCUUUGGCUCGUCCUUCCCAGGAGACACAGAAGGACUUUCUGCUGUUCCGUUCACCGCCACUGGACUCUUGUCGACCCCGUUUACUUUCACCCCAGGGGUGGGACUCCCGUGGCCGUUCAUCGCAGCGUGUCCAUUCAGCUGGGGUUUGACCGGGGACUUCUCCACACCAUUUUCAUUCUUCACCGUGACGCCGCCCUCUACAGGAGCCUCCUGAGACUUCUCGGCCAUCGCCUCAUACACCUGCUUACGGAGCUCUUCCCGAGCUUGCUCUGCCAGAGCGGCAUGAGGCGGAGUCACAUAGACACAAUGGGUUACAUUGUUGUCAC